This is a non-coding RNA of Vicia faba (fava bean), 240 nucleotides long. NCBI's taxonomy places the organism in Eukaryota, Viridiplantae, Streptophyta, Magnoliopsida, Fabales, Fabaceae. The record is from the annotation of a GenBank genome assembly.
AUGCUAUAUUCUCCAGCAGCAGUCAGGGAUUUAUUUUCCCAGACUCAGACAUGUCACAAUAGCAUUUCAUGUGCAUACAUCAUGACAUGCGCAUACAUAUUGCAUAACAUCAUAAUCUCAUUUAUUUUGAGAACAUCUUCACACAAUGCAUUUAAUGCAUCACAUAUAAUUAAUCUUGUACCUUUUCAGAAAAUAGGGUUAUCAUCAACAAUUUCCAGCAGGUCCAAGAUUAGUUCCUGA